GGUAAACCAAAAUGAGGUGAAGUAGCUGCAGCCAACAAAUAACCAAUAAACCAUUCACAAAAAGAGAGGAGGACAUGCUGACGCGGUGUCUCCUUUGAGCAAUAGUGGGCCGAGAGGAAUACUGAUGAGGCCGAGAGGGAGGUGGGAAUGCGCCGCAGACACCGGCUGUCUCGGAACGGACUCCAGGAGUGUUCUGAGCAGCAGUAAGCUUGCAAAUUUUUCAUUUCAUCAAUGAGAGCUGCAUCUACCCUCGCUUAUGGUGGACCUGUAGGCUGGCGGUGGAAGAAGAAGGGACCUGAUGAAUGUUGCAGAGCAUGAGAUCACACCGUGCCAAUGUAUGGACCGAAGUGGACAUAAAAUUGAUUGGAAGAGCCUACAAAAUGUAAUUCGUAAAUAUUGAAUUUAAAGGACCUUUUCCAGAUUAUUGGCCCUAAGCUUAUUUCUGAUCAUGUUUUGUCAUGUGAAAAUUAAUUUGAUAGUGAGUCAAAAACAGCUUUACAUCAAUUCUGGAGCAAAGAAAUACAAUCUGCAAAUGUUGAUGAAGAAUGUGGUAAAUUUCAUGAGACUUCCCAAGAUAAUUAGUUUCUUACAUUUCUUCAUGCAAUGUGCAGAUUCAUUUGUACAAAUUCUUGAAAACAUUUGUUUUAAUUUUAACUGUAUAACCUCCCUUAAAAAAACACCCCCUAUAAUAAAAUAAAUGCUUUGUGCAGCUCUUUUGCUGUGUCUUUAGUGCUUGGGGGAUUGGUCUGGUGGUGGAGAUUUACAGAUCAUAAAGAAGUACAAUAUCAGUAUUGAUCGUCUAACUAAAGCAAAAAUUAUCUGCAUGCUUAUAGUUCUCCUGGGCUGCCACAUCCUCAGUGCACGCACACACAUAUGAUCACAUCUACACAUACACAUACUCAGUAUACACAUACAUUUGCACAAUGUUUGAUCACAAAACAGACAUGCUCAGUAUACACGCACGUAUGCGUAUAUUGUUUUAUACACAUGGGUUUUUCCAAGACACGUGUAUGCACAGUAUUUCUUGAUCACUAAAAAAAUCAUUAAAAGGUUGUGUAACAAAUAUAAAAGAAAAUAAAUGUUGGUCUUUCUGCCUUAAAUAUUUCAAGCUUCUUUUAUCUGGUUCUUUGAAGAUUUCCAUUAACUAAUGGUGAUAAUGUAGCUGCU
This is a long non-coding RNA of Lepisosteus oculatus (spotted gar), 1167 nucleotides long. RefSeq lists it as uncharacterized. Lineage: Eukaryota; Metazoa; Chordata; Actinopteri; Semionotiformes; Lepisosteidae. The record is from RefSeq and is a predicted model, not a curated record.